This is a long non-coding RNA of Silurus meridionalis, 804 nucleotides long. RefSeq lists it as uncharacterized. Lineage: Eukaryota; Metazoa; Chordata; Actinopteri; Siluriformes; Siluridae. The transcript is spliced from 5 exons. The record is from RefSeq and is a predicted model, not a curated record.
ACACACACACACACACACACACACACACACACACACACACAUUUCCUCUAUCACACUACUCAGUGUGCACAGUCUUAGACACGUUUAUACACAUACCGCUGUGGUUCUUCAUACUGCACUCAUCAGGGCUCGAACAAAAUGGUGACAGUAAACGAAGACAUGCCGGUGUUAGUGGUGUUCAGCAGUGUGUGUACUCUCUUUGUUCUCAUCGCUUCCACACUCUGGACAUGUUGGAAGAUAAGAAGAGCCAUGCAGACAGAAGCACCGAAGACAUACACAAUGUAUACGGAGGACACAACGGACGAGCUAAAAGAGAAUAUCAAUGAAGAGGAGGAAGGCGCCCUCUCAUGGAUGGCAGAGGACAGUCUAAAGGAGCAAAAAACGGAAGAGAAUGAUGAUGAUGACGAUGACGAUGGUGAUGACGAUGAUGAUGGUGAUGAUGGUGAUAAUGGUGAUGAUGGUGGAAGGUCUUAGCUCAGUGGUUAAGAUUUUGCACUUUUGAUCAAAAGGUUGUGAGUUCAAAUCUCAGUACCACCAGGUUGCCACUGUGGGCCCCAGAGCAAGGCCCCUAACCAUCACCUGCUCAGUAGUAGAAAUGAGAUUGUAAGUGGCUCUGGAUACGGCCAUCUGCCACAAUGCAAUACAUGUAAAUAAUGAUGAUAAUGAAGAGGUGAAACUGACACUGGAUUUAUAUGUACAAAAAUAAACUUUAUUAUAUAAUUAUAUAAAGUUGUAGAAAAAAAGCAUUUAAAUAAUUUAUUUUAAUUAUUUAAUAGCAUCCAAUAAAAUUUUAUAAUAUUAUUA